This 242-nucleotide unclassified non-coding RNA is filed under the name Hevea brasiliensis (rubber tree). The record is from RNAcentral. Lineage: Eukaryota; Viridiplantae; Streptophyta; Magnoliopsida; Malpighiales; Euphorbiaceae.
CUUCAAGAGUCUUGCUGGCAUCACGAAAACUUUUCCGGUUGAGGCUUUUGCAGCUGGACAGUAACGGGAGAAUGCGUAUCUUCAGAUUUAUAUGUCUUUGUCUGCACUUGUUUUGAUUUCUUCCUACGCUUGAACCUGUUUGAUAGUCAACCCGAGCUUGGGAGGUUUGUUCACAAUCAUCAGUAAAUAACAUUUGCUUCUGCCCCUUAAGCUGAAAAUCACAACGUAGAACAGAAGUGACA